UACUCCUACGGGAGGCAGCAGUGGGGAAUAUUGCACAAUGGGCGCAAGCCUGAUGCAGCGACGCCGCGUGAGGGAUGGAGGCCUUCGGGUUGUAAACCUCUUUUAUCGGGGAGCAAGCGAGAGUGAGUUACCCGU
Molecule: ribosomal RNA, 135 nt
Filed under: uncultured Bifidobacterium sp.
Lineage: Bacteria; Bacillati; Actinomycetota; Actinomycetes; Bifidobacteriales; Bifidobacteriaceae
Description: partial 16S ribosomal RNA
Rfam family: Bacterial small subunit ribosomal RNA
Source: RNAcentral